This is a long non-coding RNA of Oncorhynchus keta (chum salmon), 1606 nucleotides long. RefSeq lists it as uncharacterized. Lineage: Eukaryota; Metazoa; Chordata; Actinopteri; Salmoniformes; Salmonidae. The transcript has 4 exons. The record is from RefSeq and is a predicted model, not a curated record.
CAUGAUCCUCCCUGCCUGCCUCUCCGUUGUCUGUGAAUAAAACAUGAAUCUUUCCCCUGACCGGGCUCGUAUAAAUCUAUACCGAACAAGAUAAAACAAGAUUUUACUGAGUUACAGUUCAUAUAAGAAAAUCAGUCAAUUGAAAUAAAUAAAUGAGGUCCUAAUCUACGGUUUUCACAUGACAGGAAUACAGAUAUGCAUCUGCUGGUCACAGAUUCCAUAAAAAACAGUUUGCCUCACAAUGGGCCUUAGGAUCUCCUCACGGUAUUUCUGUGCAUACAAAUUGCCAUCGAUAAAAUGCAAUUGUGUUAGUUUUCCGUAGCUUAUGCCUGCCCCAUACCAUAACCCCACCGUCACCAUGGGGGAACUCUGUUCACAACGUUGACAUCAGCAAACCGCUCGCCCACACGACGCCAUACACGUGGUCUGCGGUUGAAAGGCCGGUUGGACGUACUGACAAAUGGUCUAAAAUGACGUUGGAGGUGGCUUAUGGUAGAGAAAUGAACAUUCAAUUCUCUGGCAACAGCUCUGGUGGACAUUCUUGCAGUCUGCAUGCCAAUUGCAUUCUCCCUCAACUUGAGACAUCUGUGGCAUUGGUUUGAGUGACAAAACGGCACAUUUUAGAGUGGCCUUUUAUUGUCCCCAGCACAAGGUGCACCUGUGUAAUGAUUACGCUGUUUAGUCAGAGAAAUAAGCUUUUGGUUCCUAUGGAACAUUUCUGGGAUCUUUUAUUUCAGCUCAUGAAAUUGUGUACAUCUCUAUGUAUCUCUCUCUCUCUCUCUGUCUGUCUGUCUCUCUCUAUGAUAAGAUGACAACCUAACUCCCUUAACAACAAGACACUACACUCAACCCUCAAGACUGCCCUACUGAACUACAACACAGAACCUCUGCUUUCAAAGACUUCUGGAGUGUAGUCAUCUGUAUUAUCUAAACCAGGAGUGUCAAACAUACAGACUGGCCAGCGAACCCAUUCAAUGGCCAGCGAUGGAUAUGGGACUAUUUUCUUGUAAAUGUUGAGGACAUUUUUUUUUUUACACCAAUUUUAAUUGCAACCCUCCGGACAUCGGCGAAGAACAAAAUGAGUUUGACACCCCUGAUCUAAAACCAUUCAUUAUAUUCCAAAUGAAAGUCCUUCAUCCUUGGAUGUUGUUCUGUAAUUGCUACAUUGUUAACUGUGGCUUUCAAAGUGAAGGAGAGGAAAAGCUCAAAAAGAGACAGAUGAGUAAAAAGGAGGAGUUCAGACGAAGAGAGACGACACAGUAGAGGAGGUGAAGAGUGGACAGAGAGAGAGAGAAGGAGAGACAGAACUAGAGACGACACAGUAGAGGAGGUGAAGAGUGGACAGAGAGAGAGAGAAGGAGAGACAGAACUAGAGACGACACAGUAGAGGAGGUGAAGAGUGGACAGAGAGAGAGAGAAGGAGAGACAGAACUAGAGACGACACAGUAGAGGAGGUGAAGAGUGGACAGAGAGAGAGAGAAGGAGAGACAGAACUAGAGACGACACAGUAGAGGAGGUGAAGAGUGGACAGAGAGAGAGAGAAGGAGAGACAGAACUAGAGACGACACAGUAGAGGAGGUGAAGAGUGGACAGAGAGAGAGAGAAG